GAUGAACGCUGGCGGCGUGCCUAAAACAUGCAAGUCGAGCGGCAGCGAGUUCCUCGCUAAUGUUCGGAUUUGUUUACCAAUGAUGCAAGUAAUUUAGUCAGAGUAACAAAGUAACGACUAGUUGUUUAAGUUAAAAGGUAGAUUUAAUAUUCCGGAUAUGAGCGAGGAAUGUCGGCGAGCGGCGGACGGCUGAGUAGCGCGUAGGAACAUACCCCAAAGUGAGGCAUAACCGCCCGAAAGGGUGGCUAAUACCGCAUAUUGUCUUCGGAUGAAAGCUUUUAGCGCUUUGGGAAUGGCCUGCGUUUGAUUAGCUAGUUGGUGAGGUAAGGGCUUACCAAGGCGAUGAUCAAUAGCUGGUUUGAGAGAAUGAUCAGCCAGACUGGAACUGAGACACGGUCCAGACUCCUACGGGAGGCAGCAGUUGGGAAUUUUCCACAAUGGGCGAAAGCCUGAUGGAGCAACGCCGCGUGCAGGAAGAAUGCCUUCGGGUUGU
RNAcentral lists this ribosomal RNA (493 nucleotides) under uncultured bacterium. RNAcentral describes it as "bacterial SSU rRNA". It matches the Rfam family "Bacterial small subunit ribosomal RNA", at positions 28 to 426 of the family's 1533-position model. The record is from RNAcentral.